Molecule: microRNA precursor, 106 nt
Filed under: Canis lupus familiaris (dog)
Lineage: Eukaryota; Metazoa; Chordata; Mammalia; Carnivora; Canidae
Also listed under: 1 other name
Description: mir-8834 microRNA precursor family
Rfam family: mir-8834 microRNA precursor family
Source: Rfam by way of RNAcentral
AGGAGGAACAACCGCAGUGGUGGAGGACAGCUCUGGAAAUCUGGAAUCAGCUCCCCCAGUAACUAUGGAGCUCUCAGUCUGCAGGGCCUGGAUGCUCCGGGGGCAG